AUGUGCCACCCGGGGCUGCCGCCUCUGCCGCCGGGCUGCGCGGCCAGGCGGCGGCCGCGGCCGGCGGGGGUCGUCGCGCCCACGCCCACGCCUUCGCCGCAGCGACAGGCGCACCAGCACCACUACUGCGUGUGCUCGCCCACGGCGCACCGGGGCUCGUUCCGGUGCCGCUGGCACCGCGCCAGCUACGCGUGGGGCAGCGGCCGCGGGAGGGCGGCGGCGAUCGGGGCCGUGCCGUAG
This 240-nucleotide ribosomal RNA is filed under the name Triticum aestivum (bread wheat). RNAcentral describes it as "partial small subunit ribosomal RNA". The record is from RNAcentral. Lineage: Eukaryota; Viridiplantae; Streptophyta; Magnoliopsida; Poales; Poaceae.